RNAcentral lists this transfer RNA (66 nucleotides) under Heterotermes vagus. RNAcentral describes it as "tRNA-Arg". The record is from RNAcentral. Lineage: Eukaryota; Metazoa; Arthropoda; Insecta; Blattodea; Rhinotermitidae.
AAGUGAGAAGCAACAGCUUGCAAUCAGUUUCGACCUGAUCUUAGAUAGUAAUACUAUCCUCACUAU